ACCUUGAGGACAAAGACUAGUGA
Molecule: non-coding RNA, 23 nt
Filed under: Cricetulus griseus (Chinese hamster)
Lineage: Eukaryota; Metazoa; Chordata; Mammalia; Rodentia; Cricetidae
Source: RNAcentral